GGAGGUUUAGCUCAGAGGCAUAAGCGCCUGCUUUGCAAGCAGGCAGUCCUGAGUUCGAUCCCCAGUACCGAUA
Molecule: transfer RNA, 73 nt
Filed under: Cavia porcellus (domestic guinea pig)
Lineage: Eukaryota; Metazoa; Chordata; Mammalia; Rodentia; Caviidae
Rfam family: tRNA
About the family: Transfer RNA (tRNA) molecules are approximately 80 nucleotides in length.
Source: Rfam by way of RNAcentral